AUUGCUCCUAACCCCCUGCCGCGGUGCCCGCUGCUGCCACCAGGUGGCUCUCCUGCCUCUCUGGCUGCCUCUCAGCUUUGCCCGGCUCUCGAGCAGGUCCCUGGGGAGAGACCGGCCGAAAGGGGCACAGGGACAGAGGGAGCCGGACAAAGGGCCGGCUGGGGAAGCCGUGCAGCACGCCGGAGUAUUGGAGGUUUCCCUCGCUCCAUAAAGCACAGGGAGUUUGCCUCCGUGGAGAAGUGGCCAUUCAAUUCGAUCCAGAGUAUUUAUGAAGCACCUACUACGGGCCAGGCACUGCUGACACAAAGACAGGCACCUGAAAGGUGCGGAGGGGAGGGUAAAUCCGCACAAAAACGUUUAUAAAAAUAAUUCUGUCAGCCGCGGAAAUGGGGAAAGGCUUCUUGUAGGAGGCGCCCCCAGAACCUGGAAGGGGCUAAGAGUCAGAGGGAGGAGGGAGAACGUUCCAGGGCAGCCUGUGCAAGGGCAGGAUGAGAAGCCCGGAGACGGCGGGAAAUGGAGAAACGUGGCCUUUAAUGAAUAAUGUUCGAUGGCAACUAAUAAUGUAAAUGAUUAUUGGAAGGGGAAAAUGCCUCAGUGACCACGUGAAUUACAGCCCGAGGCUCUGCCAGCAGAGUUCCCCGGAACAGGGAUCAGUAGCCACAGGACUGGAAAGUGAAUUAGCAUCCACCCUGAUGGCCGUGCCCAGGAGGCAGCGCUGCGGCCAGAGCAAAGCCUGGAGAGGUUUCAGGGCAGGAGACCCCCGGCUUCCCAACCAACGCCAGGCCCGAGACAACGGGGUCUUCCCCUUCUCUAGCAGGGACAGAGGGACCCCUCUCUAAACGCCCCGUUUCUUCAGAGCAGCUCUUCUCCUGGAGGUUAUUAUGGAACUCCCUGAUCUGUUUUCCUGCCACCCCGACCUGUUCUUGCACAUGGCAGCUGAUAGACUGAUAUUCAUGAAUGUACAAUUCUGUCAUCUUCAGACAGUUUGGAUCUCGUUUUUUCUCUCCUUAAGAACCUUCCAAGGCUCUCCGUUGGCUG
This 1038-nucleotide long non-coding RNA is filed under the name Sarcophilus harrisii (Tasmanian devil). Its description in RNAcentral is "lncRNA (ENSSHAG00000027660.1)". Lineage: Eukaryota; Metazoa; Chordata; Mammalia; Dasyuromorphia; Dasyuridae. The record is from RNAcentral.